Molecule: ribosomal RNA, 468 nt
Filed under: uncultured bacterium
Lineage: Bacteria
Description: partial 16S ribosomal RNA
Rfam family: Bacterial small subunit ribosomal RNA
Source: RNAcentral
GACGAACGCUGGCGGCGUGCUUAACACAUGCAAGUCGAACGGAAAGGCCCUGCUUUUGUGGGGUGCUCGAGUGGCGAACGGGUGAGUAACACGUGAGUAACCUGCCCUUGUCUUUGGGAUAACUUCAGGAAACUGGGGCUAAUACCAGAUAGGAGCUCCUGCUGCAUGGUGGGGAUUGGAAAGUUUCGGCGGUUUGGGCUGGACUCGCGGCUUAUCAGCUUGUUGGUGGGGUAGUGGCUUACCAAGGCUUUGACGGGUAGCCGGCCUGAGAGCGUGACCGGCCACAUUGCGACUGAGAUACGGCCCAGACGGCUACGGGAGGCAGCAGGGGGGAAUAUUGCACAAUGGGCGGACGCCUGAUGCAGCAACGCCGCGUGCGGGAUGACGGCCUUCGGGUUGUGAACCGCUUUCGCCUGUGCCGAAGCGUGAGUGACGGUAAUGGGUCAAGAAGCACCGGCUAACUACGUG